RNAcentral lists this transfer RNA (73 nucleotides) under Camelus bactrianus (Bactrian camel). It matches the Rfam family "tRNA". Rfam says of the family: Transfer RNA (tRNA) molecules are approximately 80 nucleotides in length. The record is from Rfam by way of RNAcentral. Lineage: Eukaryota; Metazoa; Chordata; Mammalia; Artiodactyla; Camelidae. RNAcentral also lists the same sequence under 1 other name.
GAGGGUAUAGCUCAAGUGGUAGAGCGCAUGCUUAGCAUGCAAAAGAUCCUGGUUUCAAGCCCCAGUACCUCCU